AGUGAACGCUGGCGGUAGGCCUAACACAUGCAAGUCGAACGGCAGCACAGUAAGAGCUUGCUCUUACGGGUGGCGAGUGGCGGACGGGUGAGGAAUACAUCGGAAUCUACUUUUUCGUGGGGGAUAACGUAGGGAAACUUACGCUAAUACCGCAUACGACCUACGGGUGAAAGCAGGGGAUCUUCGGACCUUGCGCGAUUGAAUGAGCCGAUGUCGGAUUAGCUAGUUGGCGGGGUAAAGGCCCAGCAAGGCGACGAUCCGUAGCUGGUCUGAGAGGAUGAUCAGCCACACUGGAACUGAGACACGGUCCAGACUCCUACGGGAGGCAGCAGUGGGGAAUAUUGGACAAUGGGCGCAAGCCUGAUCCAGCCAUACCGCGUGGGUGAAGGAGGCCUUCGGGUUGUAAAGCCCUUUUGUUGGGAAAGAAAAGCAGCAGGUUAAUACCCCGCUGUUCUGACGGUACCCAAAGAAUAAGCACCGGCUAACUUCGUG
This 492-nucleotide ribosomal RNA is filed under the name uncultured bacterium. RNAcentral's name for it is "partial 16S ribosomal RNA". It matches the Rfam family "Bacterial small subunit ribosomal RNA", at positions 29 to 507 of the family's 1533-position model. The record is from RNAcentral.